Molecule: unclassified non-coding RNA, 263 nt
Filed under: Hevea brasiliensis (rubber tree)
Lineage: Eukaryota; Viridiplantae; Streptophyta; Magnoliopsida; Malpighiales; Euphorbiaceae
Source: RNAcentral
GGAAAGGGAAAAGUCAGGGAAUUUGUUAAAAUUUUUAACCAGGAAGCUUCAAACAAACCCAAAUUCAAUGUGGGCUCUCAAACUCGAAGCUCUAGAUGGAAGGAGAGAGGCAAAUUCAAGACAGAAGAUGAUGCAAGUGUUACCUCAACUCAGGUAGAUGAGUUUCUUAUGCUGUUAGAGAAACAACAUUCUGAUACAAGGAACAACGACCAUAAGUCCAUGGAGAUUUCUUCUGGACUUGAGGAUGGGUCAGCGCCAACUGC